CCUGGUAAUUAUAUGCCGGGGGUUCCACCCGUUCCCAUCCCGAACACGGCCGUUAAGCCCCGAGCAGCCAAUGGUAGUGAGGCGUCAGGCCCUGCGAGAGUAGGUUGUUGCCAGGU
This 116-nucleotide ribosomal RNA is filed under the name Opitutaceae bacterium. The record is from RNAcentral. Lineage: Bacteria; Pseudomonadati; Verrucomicrobiota; Opitutia; Opitutales; Opitutaceae.